Molecule: transfer RNA, 98 nt
Filed under: Cellulomonas hominis
Lineage: Bacteria; Bacillati; Actinomycetota; Actinomycetes; Micrococcales; Cellulomonadaceae
Description: tRNA-Ser
Source: RNAcentral
GCGUCGUGCUCGCGGACGGCACGCCGGCGCCCGCGGCGCUGCUGCCGGCGCUCGCGGGCCGCGCGGUCGCGUGGGCGUUCGACCCGGUCGCCGACGCG